RNAcentral lists this transfer-messenger RNA (387 nucleotides) under Sphingomonas sp. The stretch from base 1 to 348 matches the Rfam family "Alphaproteobacteria transfer-messenger RNA". From Rfam's summary of the family: Bacterial tmRNA, also known as 10Sa RNA or SsrA, is named for its dual tRNA and mRNA-like properties. Lineage: Bacteria; Pseudomonadati; Pseudomonadota; Alphaproteobacteria; Sphingomonadales; Sphingomonadaceae. The record is from RNAcentral.
GGGCUUUUAGUUUCUGGUCCAAGCGCCUAUAUUGGUCGGGCUCGCGGGGCUUGCCCCACGGCUAUGGUGAUAAACGUUGGUGUAAAAUAGACGCAGCGGACCCGGGGGCGGUACCCGGCGGCUCCACCACCAACCGUCUUUUUAGGCGGCUGAUGACGGGGCCGAACUAGGAUCGACGUGUGUUGAAAGGCACUGGCUUUUGCUCGGAAUGGGACCACCGUGACGGCCCGUACACAAGUGCCAACGAUAACGAAGCACUCGCGAUUGCCGCGUAACUGACGGCCUAACGGCCUAGGUUAUUCGAACAAAAGCGCGGUUGGGCCGCACCGGGCAACAGAAGCGGAUUCCAGCGGUACGGGGGGCACCGGGCAACAGAAGCCCCCCACU